RNAcentral lists this ribosomal RNA (439 nucleotides) under uncultured bacterium. RNAcentral describes it as "partial 16S ribosomal RNA". It matches the Rfam family "Bacterial small subunit ribosomal RNA", at positions 338 to 794 of the family's 1533-position model. The record is from RNAcentral.
CCUACGGGAGGCAGCAGUGGGGGAUAUUGCACAAUGGGGGAAACCCUGAUGCAGCGACGCCGCGUGGGUGAAGAAGCGCCUCGGCGCGUAAAGCCCUGUCAGCAGGGAAGAAAAUGACGGUACCUGAAGAAGAAGCCCCGGCUAACUACGUGCCAGCAGCCGCGGUAAUACGUAGGGGGCAAGCGUUAUCCGGAUUGACUGGGUGUAAAGGGGGCGCAGACGGCGAUGCAAGCCAGGAGUGAAAGCCCGGGGCCAAAGCCCGGGACUGGUCUUGGAACUGCGUGGCUAGAGUGCAGGAGGGGCAGGCGGAAUGCCUGGUGUAGCGGUGAAAUGCGUAGAUAUCAGGAGGAACACCGGUGGCGAAGGCGGCCUGCUGGACUGCAACUGACGUUGAGGCCCGAAAGCGUGGGGAGCAAACAGGAUUAGAUACCCCAGUAGU